This 505-nucleotide ribosomal RNA is filed under the name uncultured bacterium. RNAcentral describes it as "partial 16S ribosomal RNA". It matches the Rfam family "Bacterial small subunit ribosomal RNA", at positions 28 to 507 of the family's 1533-position model. The record is from RNAcentral.
GACGAACGCUGGCGGCGUGCCUAAUACAUGCAAGUAGAACGCACAGUUUAUACCGUAGCUUGCUACACCAUAGACUGUGAGUUGCGAACGGGUGAGUAACGCGUAGGUAACCUGCCUGGUAGCGGGGGAUAACUAUUGGAAACGAUAGCUAAUACCGCAUAAUAUUAAUUAUUGCAUGAUAAUUAAUUGAAAGGUGCAAUUGCACCACUACCAGAUGGACCUGCGUUGUAUUAGCUAGUAGGUGAGGUAACGGCUCACCUAGGCGACGAUACAUAGCCGACCUGAGAGGGUGAUCGGCCACACUGGGACUGAGACACGGCCCAGACUCCUACGGGAGGCAGCCGUAGGGAAUCUUCGGUAAUGGACGAAAGUCUGACCGAGCAACGCCGCGUGAGUGAAGAAGGUUUUCGGAUCGUAAAGCUCUGUUGUAAGAGAAGAACGGGUGUGAGAGUGGAAAGUUCACACUGUGACGGUAUCUUACCAGAAAGGGACGGCUAACUACGUG